Molecule: ribosomal RNA, 476 nt
Filed under: uncultured organism
Description: partial 16S ribosomal RNA
Rfam family: Bacterial small subunit ribosomal RNA
Source: RNAcentral
CACUCCUGCGGGAGGCAGCAGUGGGGAAUAUUGCACAAUGGGCGCAAGCCUGAUGCAGCCAUGCCGCGUGUAUGAAGAAGGACUUCGGGUUGUAAAGUACUUUCAGCGGGGAGGAAGGUGUUGAGGUUAAUAACCUCAGCAAUUGACGUUACCCGCAGAAGAAGCACCGGCUAACUCCGUGCCAGCAGCCGCGGUAAUACGGAGGGUGCAAGCGUUAAUCGGAAUUACUGGGCGUAAAUCGCACGCAGGCGGUCUGUCAAGUCGGAUGUGAAAUCCCCGGGCUCAACCUGGGAACUGCAUUCGAAACUGGCAGGCUAGAGUCUUGUAGAGGGGGGUAGAAUUCCAGGUGUAGCGGUGAAAUGCGUAGAGAUCUGGAGGAAUACCGGUGGCGAAGGCGGCCCCCUGGACAAAGACUGACGCUCAGGUGCGAAAGCGUGGGGAGCAAAUAGGAUUAGAAACCCGAGUAGUCCCAUGGU